AUGGCAGGCCUCGACCUUGGCACCGCCGCGACGCGCUACGUGCACCAGUUCCACCACCUCCACCCGGACCUCCAGCUGCAGCAGAACAGCUACGCCAAGCAGCAGCACGAGCCCGCCGACGAUGACCACAACGGCAACGGCAACGGCGGCAACUACGGAGCCCAGUACGGCGAGAACAACGACGGCGGCUCCUCCUCCUCCGGCCCCGCCGGUGAUGGCGCGGGUGGCGGCGGCGGGGGCGGGCCUGGGGACAUGGUGGCGCGCCGGCCACGGGGGCGCCCCCCGGGCUCGAAGAACAAGCCCAAGCCGCCGGUGAUCAUCACGCGGGAGAGCGCCAACACGCUGCGCGCCCACAUCCUGGAGGUCGGCAGCGGCUGCGACGUGUUUGAGUGCAUCUCCACGUACGCGUGCCGGCGGCAGCGCGGCGUGUGCGUGCUGAGCGGCAGCGGCAUCGUGACCAACGUGACGCUGCGGCAGCCGUCGGCCCCCGCGGGCGCCGUCGUGACCCUGCACGGCAGGUUCGAGAUCCUGUCGCUCUCGGGCUCCUUCCUGCCCCCGCCGGCUCCCCCUGGAGCCACCAGCCUCACCAUAUUCCUCGCCGGGGGGCAGGGGCAGGUCGUCGGCGGCAACGUCGUGGGCGCGCUCUACGCCGCGGGCCCGGUCAUCGUCAUCGCGGCGUCCUUCGCUAACGUCGCCUACGAGCGCCUCCCGCUGGAGGACGAGGAGGCGCCGCCUGCAACGGCAGGCAUGCAGAUGCAGCAGCCCGGCGACGCCGACGCCGCGGCCGCCAUGGGCGGCGUCCCGUUCCCUCCCGACCCGUCGGCUGCCGGCCUGCCCUUCUUCAACCAGCUGCCUCUCAACAACAUGACCGGCGGUCCCGGCUCGCAGCUCCCUCCCGGUGCCGACGGCCACGGCUGGGCCGGCGGACGGCCACAGUUCUGA
Molecule: ribosomal RNA, 942 nt
Filed under: Triticum aestivum (bread wheat)
Lineage: Eukaryota; Viridiplantae; Streptophyta; Magnoliopsida; Poales; Poaceae
Description: partial small subunit ribosomal RNA
Source: RNAcentral